GUCGACAUUAGUUAAUGAUACCUACUUGUGGGGAAAAUGUUAUAAAGAACUAAACAUAAAAAAUGAAAUAGAGCAAAAAAAUUAAGUAGGAUUUAUUGAGUCUUCUUGGCUGAUAAUUUUUAAAAACAUAAUGUCCAGGAUAUACAAAGAACUCAAAAAACGUAAUACCAAGAAAACAAAUAACCCAAUCAAUAAAUGGGCAAAAAAACUGAAUAGAUACCUUCACAGAAGAAGAAAUACAAUCGAUCAACAAAUAUUUGAAAAAAUGUUUAGCAUCUCUAGCAAUUAGAUGAAAAUCAAAACUACUCUAAGAUUUUAUCUCACUCAAUUCAGAAUGGCAAUUAUCAAGGAUACAAGCAAUAAUAAAUGUUGGCAAGGAUGUGGGGUGAAAGGUACACUCAUACAUUGCUGGUGGAACUGCAAAUUGGUGCAACUACUAUGGAAAGCAGAAUUCCUCAGAAAACUUGGAAUGGAACCACCAUUUGACCCAGCUAUCCCACUCCUUGGUUUAUACCUAAAGGACUUAAAAUCUGCAUACUAUAAUAAUGCAGCCACAUCAAUGUUUAUAGCAACUCAACUCACAAUUUCUAAACUAUGGAACCAACCUAGGUGUCCUUCAGCAGAUGAAUGGAUAAAGAAAUUGUGGUACAUAUACACAAUGGAAUAUGACUCAGCCUUAAAGAAGAAUGAAAUGAUGGCAUUUGCCAGUAAAUGGAUAGAGCUAGAGAAUAUUAUGCUAAGCGAAAUAAGCCAAUCCCAAAAAACCAAAGGCCAAAUGUUUUCUCUGAUAUGUGGAUCUAGUUCACAAUAAGGGUGUGGGGGCUAUGGAAAAUAGAGUUGCUUUAGAUUAGAUAGAGGGGAGUAAAGGAAGGGGAGAGUGUAUGGAGGAAGGAAGGAUAGUAGAAUGAAUCAGGCAUUAUUACCCUAUGUACAUAUAUGACUACGCGACCAAUGUGAAUGUACACCAUGUACAACCUGAAGAAUGAGAAACUAUACUUCAUUUAUGUAUGGUGUGUCAAAAUGCAUUAUAAUGUCAUGCAUAACUAAUUAGAACAAUUUUUAAAAAGAGACAAAGGAAAUUCAAUGAAAAAGAGAGGAAUUCUAAUAUAUCAUGAUUUAAGACUUCCAAAUACAAGAAAUUACCAUUAAAAAAACCAUAAUACUACCGGUAAUGGUGGUCACACCUGUAAUCCCAGCAACUCUGGUGGCUGAGGCAGGAGGUUCACAAGUUCAAAGCCAGCUUCAGCAACUUAGCAAG
Molecule: long non-coding RNA, 1258 nt
Filed under: Marmota monax (woodchuck)
Lineage: Eukaryota; Metazoa; Chordata; Mammalia; Rodentia; Sciuridae
Source: RNAcentral